RNA transcript from Lagenorhynchus albirostris (white-beaked dolphin), 689 nucleotides. It is a transcript of the gene named churchill domain containing 1, with no coding region annotated. The record is from RefSeq and is a predicted model, not a curated record. NCBI's taxonomy places the organism in Eukaryota, Metazoa, Chordata, Mammalia, Artiodactyla, Delphinidae. The transcript has 5 exons.
UGGGCGCAUGCGGCGACUUUCUCUGAGCUCUCGCGAGGUUUCCUCUUCCCGGAAGCAGCGAAGGAACUUCCCCGUUAACUGCGUCGCGAUGUGUGGGGACUGUGUGGAGAAGGAGUAUCCCAACCGGGGUAACAUCUGCCUGGAGAAUGGAUCUUUCUUGCUGAACUUUAUAGGCUGUGCAGUGUGCAGUAAGCGGGACUUUAUGCUGAUCACAAACAAAUCUUUGAAAGAGGAAGAUGGAGAAGAAAUAGUUACCUAUGAUCCAGAUCUUUGUAGGAAUUGUCAUCAUGUAAUAGCCAGGCAUGAGUAUACGUUCAGUAUCAUGGAUGAAUUUCAGCAGGCCCCGACUCCUGUGACUGGCCAGCUGGUAACUUCCAUCUUAGUCUGAUGACCCCAAGAACUCUUCAUACUCAGCUGCUGUGACUUACUUUCCUCAGCCCCACCCCAUUCCAGCCCCCAUCUUAUUCCAGCAGCCAUUGAGGUUCAAGAUGGGAUUCCCACCAUUGGAGUAUACCAUGCUGUGUCUGUUAUGUGGUAAAGCUGAAGAUACGAUCAGUAUUCUCCCUGACGACCCCCGACAAAUGACUCUGUUAUUCUAAGGAUCCUUCUGCAGCUCUGUAAUCACAAUGUGGUGUUGGUUUACAAUACAGCAAGCCUGAUGGUUUGUCUAACUUAGUUUAUAAUGGAAA